Molecule: long non-coding RNA, 332 nt
Filed under: Phoenix dactylifera (date palm)
Lineage: Eukaryota; Viridiplantae; Streptophyta; Magnoliopsida; Arecales; Arecaceae
Description: long non-coding RNA (PDAC_LNC018394)
Source: RNAcentral
CCGUGUUCCUUUGUUAGGGCUGCAUCCAGCCCUAGUGAGAAGAUCAGCCUUCCAUGAAGUCGUGGGCGACAGCAGCAGUGGCACAGCAGUGGGCUCCCAUUUCUUCCUUUUCUUCCUUCGGCGACUUCCCUCGAAAAUUCCCUCUCAACACUUCAUUAUUUUUUUCUUUUGGGAAGUCAUUCCCGAAAUGCCCAAGAAACUCUUCUCCCUCCUCUGUCUUCUGUGGGAUUUUUGCCUCCGAAGAGCUUCAUUCAUGGGGUCCGUCUCCUCCCCUUUUGUGGGAUUUUUGCCUCCGAAGAGCUUCAUUCAUGGGGUCCGUCUCCUCCCCUUUU